RNAcentral lists this ribosomal RNA (511 nucleotides) under uncultured bacterium. RNAcentral's name for it is "bacterial SSU rRNA". It matches the Rfam family "Bacterial small subunit ribosomal RNA", at positions 28 to 526 of the family's 1533-position model. The record is from RNAcentral.
GACGAACGCUGGCGGCGCGCUUAACACAUGCAAGUCGAGCGAGAACCAGGGCUUCGGCCCUGGGGAAAGCGGCGAACGGGUGAGUAACACGUGAGUAAUCCACCCUCGGUACCGGGAUAGCCCGGGGAAACCCGGAUUAAUACCGGAUGGCCCAACAGCUCUGCGGGGCGGUUGGAAAAGGUAGCUUCGGCCUCCGACCGAGGACGAGCUCGCGGCGGAUUAGCUUGUUGGCGGGGUAACGGCCCACCAAGGCGACGAUCCGUAGCUGGUCUGAGAGGACGAUCAGCCACACUGGGACUGAGACACGGCCCAGACUCCUACGGGAGGCAGCAGUGGGGAAUCUUGCGCAAUGGGCGAAAGCCUGACGCAGCGACGCCGCGUGCGGGAAGAAGGCCUUCGGGUUGUAAACCGCUUUCAGGAGGGACGAAGCCACUCGGGUUAAUAGCCCAGAGGGUGACGGUACCUCCAGAAGAAGCCCCGGCUAACUACGUGCCAGCAGCCGCCGUAAUAC